GGGCUGAAACUGCAGUAUCAGCAGAUGGGGAGCUUAAGAAGGAAGCUAGUUCAUGGCACAGCACCCCUAAAGUCCCCAGAAUUGGAGGCACCAGAUUCUUCUGAAAGAAAAGGAGCAAUUCAGCACUUGUCACGGAGAUAAGAGGUCAACACCCCAGGACGGAGUGAAAACCUAAGGGCCUUAGCAUAUGCUAUUCCUUCUGCCUGGAGGGCGCAUCCCCCAACCAUCACAUGACUGGCCACAUUGCUCAGACUUUAGCCUAGAUGUCACCUCUUCAGAGAAGCCUUCUCUGACCACCCUAUUUAAUGUUGAUCACUCCACCUGCAGCCCAAACACCAGCUAAU
Molecule: long non-coding RNA, 344 nt
Organism: Gorilla gorilla gorilla (western lowland gorilla)
Lineage: Eukaryota; Metazoa; Chordata; Mammalia; Primates; Hominidae
Exons: 3
Source: RefSeq, a predicted model, not a curated record